Molecule: ribosomal RNA, 855 nt
Filed under: Triticum aestivum (bread wheat)
Lineage: Eukaryota; Viridiplantae; Streptophyta; Magnoliopsida; Poales; Poaceae
Description: partial small subunit ribosomal RNA
Source: RNAcentral
AUGGCUCAUGCUGUUGUUCCGUUCAAUUUUAAUGCGUUCCUUGAGAAAGCAAAGUUGAAAGAUGAUGGUAGCAAUUACAUGGACUGGGUCCGUAACCUGAGGAUUAUCUUCAUUGCUGCACAGAAAAGUUACGUCCUGGAAGCACCGCUGGGUGCCAGGCCUGCUGCUGAUGCAACUGACGACGUUAAGAACGUCUGGCAGAGCAAAGCUGAUGACUACUCUAUAGUUCAGUGUGCCAUGCUUUACGGCUUAGAACCGGGUCUUCAACGAUGUUUUGAACGUCAUGGAGCAUAUGAGAUGUUCCAGGAGUUGAAGUUAAUAUUUCAAGCAAAUGCCCGGAUUGAGAGAUAUGAAGUCUCCAAUAAGUUCUAUAGCCGCAAGAUGGAGGAGAAUAGUUCUGUCAGUGAACACAUACUCAGAAUGUCUGGGUAUAAUAAUCACUUGAUUCAACUGGGAGUUAAUCUUCCUGAUGAUAGUGUCAUUGACAGAAUUCUCCAAUCACUGCCACCAAGCUACAAGAGCUUUGCGAUGAACUAUAAUAUGCAAGGGAUGAAAAAGACUAUUCCCGAGCUCUUCGCAAUGCUAAAAGCCGCAGAGGUAGAAAUCAAGAAGGAGCAUCAAGUGUUGAUGGUCAACAAGACCACUAGUUUCACGAAAAAGGGCAAAUGGAAGAAGAAGGGGAACUUCAAAAAGAACGGCAAGCAAGUUGCUGCUCAAGAGAAGAAACCCAAGUCUGGACCUAAGCCUGAAACUGGGUGCUUCUACUGCAAGCAGACUGGUCACUGGAAGCGGAACUGCCCCAAGUAUUUGGCGGAUAAGAAGGAUGGCAAAGUGAACAAAGGGACUACGGAAUAA